This is a long non-coding RNA of Gastrolobium bilobum, 624 nucleotides long. RefSeq lists it as uncharacterized. NCBI's taxonomy places the organism in Eukaryota, Viridiplantae, Streptophyta, Magnoliopsida, Fabales, Fabaceae. The transcript is spliced from 4 exons. The record is from RefSeq and is a predicted model, not a curated record.
UCAUGAAUUUGUGGUUGAAAUUAGGUGAUUGAUUAAAGUUAAAACGCGUGUGGGACCCGCCUGUGACUUAAGUGAGUCAAACUCACCAUUUCUUCACACUUUCUCUCUCCUCCCCUCCUUCUUCUUCACGCUGGAACAGCCUCCCCCAUGCCCAUUUCUUCUUGAUUUUCUUUUCUUCACAAAUCACUCAUUUCUCCACCAAAUCCAACAAAAUUUGUGUUGAAAUUUGUUGGAAAAGACCUUCUAAACACAUUGGUACCACUCUUAAGCCUUGAAAUCGCCUCUUUGUGGAGCAUUUGGCAAAAAUCAGAUCCGAAAAUUUGAAGAAAAUUGGAUGUUCAUGGAGCUUUUGAUCUUCCAUUGCUUGGAGGAGUCUUGGGUUAGCUUCUAGCCUUUGUUGUGAGUUGCCGUACAUCGACUUGAAUCCCGAAUCUUGAUUCAGUGAGUUGCCAUUGGUCUUGGACCAAGUGGAUUGAGGCAUUCCGCUGUGUACCGAGUUGAGGGAUAAGCUGCUGCGGAGCUUGUGGAAACACGAAUUAAGGAGGUAGCAGUGGAGCAGGAGCCUCGGGCAAGAGGCCCGUAGAGUGAGCGAUGUAGCGUUUCUUAUUUUGCAUUUUGUUGGCC